RNAcentral lists this long non-coding RNA (365 nucleotides) under Prunus dulcis (almond). Its description in RNAcentral is "sRNA ncRNA". Lineage: Eukaryota; Viridiplantae; Streptophyta; Magnoliopsida; Rosales; Rosaceae. The record is from RNAcentral.
GUCAAAGCUCACUCCGAAGAGGCUGGGAAGUGCCUCAAAUUCUCUCAAUGCCAAUAAACAUAUAUAUAUAUAGCUAUGCAGCUGGUGCAACACUGCCCGCAUCAUCGUCGUCGUCGUCGUCAUCAUCAUCCCAAUCAUUCUUCCGGUGAACAUGAAACUGUGUCUUGGACAGCUCCUCCUCCUUUUUAAAAACCAACUUGGAAGCAGCAAGUAACUGUUUGCUAUUGACACUCACCAUUGCAACUGACAUAUAUAAAAUAGGGUUUAGAUAGGAAAAAAAAAGAAAAAAAAAAAGGACCUGCUUACCUAAGAAAUUGACCAAAGAAAUUAAAUAAGCAUGCAGUGUGUAUGCGGAAGCUAGUUGC